GAUGAAGAACGUAGCGAAAUGCGAUAAGUAAUGUGAAUUGCAGAAUUCAGUGAAUCAUCGAAUCUUUGAACGCACCUUGCGCUCUUUGGUAUUCCGAAGAGCAUGCCUGUUUGAGUGUCAUGAAAAUAUCAACCUUGACUUGGGUUUUGUGCUCUAGUCUCGGCUUGGAAUUGGGUGCUUGCCGCUUUUACGAGCGGCUCACCUUCAAUGUAUUAGCUGGAUCUGUCUUUGAGACUUGGUUUGACUUGGCGUAAUAAGUAUUUCGCUAAGGACAUUCUUCGGAGUGGCCUCGUUUCUAGGACGCUUGUCCGCUUUCCAAUACAAGUUCCACCUCGUGGACAUGACUUUUUAUUAUCUGGCCUCAAAUCAGGUAGGACUACCCGCUGAACUUAAGCAUAUCAAUAAGCGGAGGA
RNAcentral lists this unclassified non-coding RNA (413 nucleotides) under soil metagenome. Its description in RNAcentral is "partial contains 5.8S ribosomal RNA, internal transcribed spacer 2, and large subunit ribosomal RNA". The stretch from base 1 to 120 matches the Rfam family "5.8S ribosomal RNA", at positions 35 to 154 of the family's 154-position model. The record is from RNAcentral.